This 640-nucleotide long non-coding RNA is filed under the name Homo sapiens (human). RNAcentral describes it as "non-protein coding lnc-DIAPH3-19:1". Lineage: Eukaryota; Metazoa; Chordata; Mammalia; Primates; Hominidae. The record is from RNAcentral.
GGAACUCAGAACUCCACCAGAUAAAUUUAACAAAGAGAUUGAAAUAAUUACUAUAAAAAGAAUAAAGCAGAAUUCUGUGUUUCAAAAUGUAAUGGGCAUAAUGAGGGAUACAUCGGAAUCUUUUAAUAGCAGAAUUUAUGAGGCAGGAAUAAAAAUCGUGAGCUUGAAGGCAGGCUAUUUGAAAAUACUGUCAGAGGAGACAAAAGUAAAAGAAAUAAGAAAGAAGCACACUUACAGGAUAUAGAAAAAUAACCUGAAAAGAGUAAAUCUCAGAGUUGUUGGUCUUAAAGAGGAGGUAGAGAAAGAGAUAAGGGUAGAAAAAUGAAGGAAAAACACUAUAUGAUUAUUUCAAUUGAUGCCGAAAAAUCAUUUGAUAAAAUUCAAUAUUCCUUCCUAAUAAAACCCAGACUGAACAAUAUAAAAGUCAUAUAUGAGAGACCCACAGCUCAUAUCAUACUAAAUGGGGAGAAACUGAAAAGCCUUUCUCUAAGAUCUGAAACACAGCAAGGAUGCCCACUUUCAUCACUGUUUUCCAACAUAUCCUGGAAGUGCUAGCAAGAGCAACUGGACAACAUAAAUAAGUAAAGGGCCCCCAAACUGGAAACAAAUAGUCAGAUUAUCCUUGUUUGCAGAUUAUAUG